Molecule: ribosomal RNA, 373 nt
Filed under: uncultured organism
Description: partial 16S ribosomal RNA
Rfam family: Bacterial small subunit ribosomal RNA
Source: RNAcentral
GGGGGGGCAAGCGUUUGUUUCGGAUUUACUGGGCGUAAAGGGCUCGUAGGCGGCCAUCUAAGUCGGUUGUGAAAUCCCUCGGCUCAACCGGGGAACUGCGACCGAGACUGGAUGGCUUGAAGCCGGGAGAGGGAUGCGGAAUUCCAGGUGUAGCGGUGAAAUGCGUAGAUAUCUGGAGGAACACCCGUGGCGAAGGCGGUAUCCUGGACCGGUCUUGACGCUGAGGAGCGAAAGCUAGGGUAGCAAACGGGAUUAGAUACCCGGUAGUCCUAGCCGUAAACGAUGAAUGCUUGGUGUGGCGGGUAUCGAUCCCCUGCCCGUGCCGUAGCUAACGCGUUAAGCAUUCCGCCUGGGGAGUACGGUCGCAAGGCUG